RNAcentral lists this non-coding RNA (27 nucleotides) under Homo sapiens (human). The record is from RNAcentral. Lineage: Eukaryota; Metazoa; Chordata; Mammalia; Primates; Hominidae.
UGGUGACCCAUCAGCGUUGCCACCUGC